Molecule: long non-coding RNA, 263 nt
Filed under: Brassica napus (rape)
Lineage: Eukaryota; Viridiplantae; Streptophyta; Magnoliopsida; Brassicales; Brassicaceae
Description: long non-coding RNA (BNAP_LNC023455)
Source: RNAcentral
AAUUCUUAGUUGAUGAUCAAAGGACUAAAAAUUUAAUAAAUCCACCAAACAUUAUACGAUUUUAAUUUACCAUUUCCAUCACACUUGGCAUUUUUUCAACUUCUGCUUUUGGAAUUUGACUAUUGGCAAAAAGAGUUAAUGAAACUAGUUAUCAAUGGUUUCAACGUUCGUUUUUUCAUCCUUCAUUGUCACCUUUCCUUUCACUUUCUAGACCAUACAUACACGAGAAUACUGCAUAGGCUGUCCCAAUACAUAUACAUAUA